GUUGAUUAGGAAAAUUAUACUCCGUUAACAGCUCUAUAUAAUUCCAUGUUAAGUGAGUACCAUCUUCGGCAGUAAGUACUAAGUAGAUCAACGACAAUCAAAAUGAAGACUUUAGUGUGCAUUAUUUUGAUCCUAAUAUCGAGGGUACUCGCAAAACCAACUUUAGAGUAUUUGGGCGCUAUCGAAGCUGUGCCGCCUAGUGUUACUCUGUCACAAUUGAGCGAUAGUCGUAUAGAUGGAAAUGGGAUCCAUAUAAAUCAACUCACAAACCCCCUCUUUCAAGUUGUUCUAGACGAAAGCGAUAAUAAAAGGCGAGUUCAACGAUACAGAGACAUAUUUUAAUUUGUAUUAGAAAUGAUAAUAAAUAUGUAACA
Pieris napi is the source of this 374-nucleotide long non-coding RNA. RefSeq lists it as uncharacterized. The transcript is spliced from 3 exons. NCBI's taxonomy places the organism in Eukaryota, Metazoa, Arthropoda, Insecta, Lepidoptera, Pieridae. The record is from RefSeq and is a predicted model, not a curated record.